This 534-nucleotide ribosomal RNA is filed under the name Ichthyophis glutinosus (Ceylon caecilian). RNAcentral describes it as "partial 16S ribosomal RNA". It matches the Rfam family "Bacterial large subunit ribosomal RNA", at positions 1817 to 2597 of the family's 2925-position model. Lineage: Eukaryota; Metazoa; Chordata; Amphibia; Gymnophiona; Ichthyophiidae. The record is from RNAcentral.
CGCCUNUAGCAAAACCAGUAUUAGAGGUACUGCCUGCCCAGUGAUAAAUUUAACGGCCGCGGUAUUUUGACCGUGCAAAGGUAGCAUAAUCACUUGUCUUCUAAAUAAAGACUAGUAUGAACGGCAAAACGAAGGUUUAACUGUCUCCUUUGUCCACUCAAUGAAAUUGAUCUCACAGUACAAAAGCUGUGAUUAAACAACAAGACGAGAAGACCCUAUGGAGCUUAAAACUUACUAAAAAUUGUAAUAAAUUUAUUAAUUUAAUACACUAAUUUUAUACUGUUUUUGGUUGGGGCGACCACGGAGAAUACAUAUCCUCCGAGAUGAUACAUCAGGAAACAAUCCAAAACUUCAGAAAACUGACAUAAUUGACCCAAUAACUUUGACCAACGAACCAAGUUACCCUAGGGAUAACAGCGCAAUCCUCUUCAAGAGCCCAUAUCGACAAGAGGGCUUACGACCUCGAUGUUGGAUCAGGAUAACCUGACAGUGCAACCGCUGUCAAAGGUUUGUUUGUUCAACAAUUAAAAUCCU